AACGAACGCUGGCGGCAGGCCUAACACAUGCAAGUCGAGCGAGGACUUCGGUUCUAGCGGCGGACGGGUGAGUAACGCGUGGGAAUGUGCCCUUCUCUACGGCAUAGCCCUGGGAAACUGGGAGUAAUACCGUAUACGCCCUUUUGGGGAAAGAUUUAUCGGAGAAGGAUCUGCCCGCGUUGGAUUCGGUAGUUGGUAGGGUAAUGGCCUACCAAGCCGACGAUCCAUAGCUGGUUUGAGAGGAUGAUCAGCCACACUGGGACUGAGACACGGCCCAGACUCCUACGGGAGGCAGCAGUGGGGAAUCGUAGACAAUGGGGGCAACCCUGAUCUAGCCAUGCCGCGUGAGUGAUGAAGGCCUUAGGGUUGUAAAGCGCUUUCAGCUGGGAAGAUAAUGACGGUACCAGCAGAAGAAGCCCCGGCUAACUCCGUG
RNAcentral lists this ribosomal RNA (433 nucleotides) under uncultured bacterium. RNAcentral's name for it is "partial 16S ribosomal RNA". It matches the Rfam family "Bacterial small subunit ribosomal RNA", at positions 29 to 507 of the family's 1533-position model. The record is from RNAcentral.